RNAcentral lists this long non-coding RNA (31127 nucleotides) under Daucus carota (carrot). RNAcentral describes it as "long non-coding RNA (DCAR_LNC003122)". The stretch from base 1114 to 1185 matches the Rfam family "tRNA". The record is from RNAcentral. Lineage: Eukaryota; Viridiplantae; Streptophyta; Magnoliopsida; Apiales; Apiaceae.
AAUAUUAUCUCCAAAACCCUAAUUGACUCCAUCAAAAUUAGGGCUACAACGGCCAAAUUUCAAGCCAUACCCACAAUCUCAGUCCGAUUCAUCGGAAAGGGGAGCCAUCUGCUGAGCCUCGAGACGCUCUAGGGCUUUCUGGUGGGCCCAAGUUUCGAUAGUGAGAUCGGGCUUGGCGUUGAGCCCAACGCCGAGGAUGACGAUGGUGAGGAAGCUGGUGACGUAGCAAGGUAACUCCCAGUCUUCCCACUUUCUGGAUUGACCUGGAGGUAAGGGAGUCCGGUUCAGGAAAUAACCGUUGGGGUGUUCUUGGUGACCCGGGCUUGUCCAUCGGCUUGGACCGGCGCCGCCGCCUCUAAGACGGAGGCUUGUGCUUAGCCGGCUGCGGAGAGUGCCGGCGGCGGUGGCGAAGGGUUUCGCGGACGCCAUCUGUUUAGAGAGAGAGAGGGGGGAGGGGAGGGGAGUGAGAGAUUGUAUUUGUACGUGUUGCCCUUUUUUGGAUCUCAGUUUUUGCAAGGGCUUCUUGGUAUUCUCCAAUAUACGACGUCGUCACAUGAAAAAAGAGGGAUAACGUACAAUUCUAUAUUCCAUAAACUUGUAAAAUUUUUGUGAUUUAGAUUAAUAAGGUCCUUUUAUAAAAUGAUCAUAGAAAAUAAUUUACAAAAAAGGUUACCGGAUGAAGUUAUUGAGUUCGUAAACUUUAAUCGUUUUUCUGUAAUUAAUAUACUAACAUACUGAUCUCAGAUCUUAUUUGAAAAAAAUAAAAUAGCUCUCAAGUGAAAUACCCGUUUGAUCAAUUAAUUUAUUCUAAUCAAAUUAAAAAACAUAUAACUUUCAUGAAUUCAAAUAACCCAUUAAAAAUCAAUUUCAUUAAGAACAAGUUCAAUUCAAAAUGCGACAUACCCUCCCUUAUUGAUACUCUAUAAUUUAACAAUAAAAGAUAUAUUUUAUUUGUUAAAGAUCAAAAAAAGAAAAAGAAUACUUUUGGCCAAAUAUCAAAAAAAACAAGGGUUUUUAAUUCUAAAAACUAGCAAUAUUAGCCCGGUUGUGGUUUCUGUGCUCAUUUACUAAUCAGAGUAUUAUAAUACUCUCUGCCACAUUUUGCACAUCGAAGGGCAUUUGGUCUAGUGGUAUGAUUCUCGCUUUGGGUGCGAGAGGUCCCGAGUUCGAUUCUCGGAAUGCCCCCUUUUUCCCAAGACUAGUUGAAUAUUGCUUUUCAGCCCUGCAAAUGUUCUAUUUCACAGGACUCACUGUAACUACCGCAUCCAAGCUAAAACCAUCCAUCAAAGAUUGCGAAAUGUAACAAGAAAAAUUUUUUUUUACAAAAGACAUGACAGUUUAUAGUCACCAAUAGUUUCCACAUGAACAGACACCAUCAACAAUAUGAUGAUAUCGGCUUUUAUCCCUUAAAUAUAUUUCUCUUUCAUAAAUUUUAGAUACAAAUUUGGCAAAAUUAUGGCAAUCAACGCAGAUGCGGAGAUUUUUCAUUACUCGAAUAGGCCUUUUUUGAGGGGUACACAUUAGUGCAAAAGCCAAAGCCAGCUUUUCACUAUGCCCCAGCAGCAUUUUCCCUUUCUGCUCCUCAUCUACAUCAUAUAAUACACAAGACAGAUUUGGGACAUAACCAGCUUCCCUAACCUUGACUGACAUCUCUCUUACCUUUUCUGCUACCUCUUCCUUCUGUGGAUGUGAUCGAUCAUCUGCAUGGAAAGUGUGAAUGGUUUUAUCCAAUUCAAUCCAGCUCUUUCCUGGCUCCUUUGUUAUGGCCUUCUCCAUCAUCAUAUCCCUUACCACUCUUACUUCAUUCCACCUUCCUGCGGAUGCGAGCAGAUUUGAAAGAACUACAUAAUUACCAGCAUUUUCAGGUUCUAUUAUUAAUAGUUGACUACCAACAUACUGUCCAAUGUCAACAUUCUGGUGAACACUACAAGCACCUAAGAGUGAACCCCAAAUUGCACCAGUUGGUUCAAAUGGCAUAUCCUUUACAAAUUUAAAUGCCUUUUCUAUUUGUCCAGCGCGUCCAAGCAAAUCAACAACAGUCCCAUAAUGUCCAAUAUCUGGCUCAACGCCAGUUUUUCCACGCACCAUCUCAUCAAAAAAUUCUAGUCCUCUAUUUUCCAUCCCUCCAUGGCUACAAGCAGAUAACAAAGCCAAAAACGUAACUUUAUCAGGCAAAACUUUAUUUUCUUCUCUCAUUAAUUCAAAAACCUUAACAGCAUCCUGUCCUCUUCCAUGUUUGCUAUAUCCUACAAGCAUCGUAUUCCAUGUUAUGACAGUUCUUUCAGACAUGUUAUCGAAUAUCCUUCUUGAGUAUGUGAGGUUUCCACAUUUUGAAUACAUAUCAAUCAAAGAAUUCUGAAGAACCGCGUAGGAUGGCAGUUGAAACCUAAGUACAUGGCUGUGAACUUGCCUUCCAUGUUCAUAUGCAGCAAGACCAGAUAUUGCAGUCAAAACACUGGCAUACGUUACAUAAUUGGAGAUCAUUCCCUCUUCCUGCAACUGACAGAAUAACUUUAAAGCCUCUUCGUCAAAACCCAACUGAGCAUAGCCUGAAAUGAUAGCAGUGCAAGAAACAACAUCCCUCUCUGGCAAGCCAUCAAACACCACUCGUGCUUCAUGGAUCCAACCCGUUUUGGCAUACAGGUCAAGAAGUGAGCUUCCAACAUACACAUGGGCGUCAAAACUCAACUUUAUUAUAUGGCUAUGGAUUUGCCUCCCGUGGAGGAGCCCGGAGACUCCUGAGCAAGAUGUAAGAACAGUCGCAAAUGUAAACUCAUUAGGUUCAAUACCUGGAAAAAAAAACUUCAUCUUACAAUCCACACUUAAAUGCUAAAAAGAAGAUAACCACCUGAGUGUAAGCCAUUUAAUUGUAUGUAGUCUUGAGAUGUAACUCUAGAAACAAAAUAUCAAUUUGAGUAUCUAGCUUCUGAGGCAUAGAAUUAGUGCUAACUGAUAAGUUAGAUUACGACACAAAGCUUAAAGAUGGAUGCUUCAUGUAUAUGUUACACUUGCCAACAGCUGAAGAUGUGAUCUUUUAUCUUUUAAUUUUCUUUCCAAGUAGUGAUUGGACAGAAACGCUCAACUGUGGCACUUUCCCCCCUAGCCUGGCAGUGCUUGGGGUUGGGGGGCGUCAUUUGCUUCGUUGGUUCCAAUGGUGGCAGCCGAGGAAUCUGAACAAAAUUAGACUCUUCUGUCUGUGUUGUGAAAACAUUGAAAGAUUUAAUGAUUAAAAGUUUACUUUCUCAAAACCUACCAGAACACAUUUCAUCUAAGUAGUUAGAAGUUUUAUCCUCCGGAAUUUGUGUUUUACGAGUGGCACUUCCUUUAUAUAAAAGCAGAACAUGGUAAGGGAUCAAUGGUCCACAAAUAUUGAUCUGUCAACAAAGUAAAAUUGCAUUCAAGUAAAUUAAGCUAAUUGGUCAAAUAUGUUAAGUGAUCAGUUCUCCUAAAACCUUAAUGUUGUGUAUGGUAGGGGAGAAUGGAAUGGAAUGCAAUGAUUGGAAGUAAAUGAAAAUAAUAGAGGUAGGAGGGAAGUUCUGAAAAAAUUGAGUUAUCGCAAAAUUGUUUUAAUGAGGUUUAAAAAGAAAUUAAGUAUGGGAAGGAAUGGAGCAUUCCUUCUUAAAUUGGGGUUGUAGUCUCUGGUGUAGGGUGUAAAGAAUGGAAUGGAGUAAGAAUGAAAUUUAUAAACAAUUAUCCAUAACAUAGUUCCAAUUUCAUUCUAUUUCUUCCGAAUUCAUUUACUCCAACAAAACAAGCUACUUCUGGGGGUGUUACAACAUAGUAAGGGAUUUUAAAAAAAGCCUACUCUUCUGUAGCGUGUGAGCAGGUAUGAAGCCAAUAGAGGGGGCCAAAAACUUUUCCCUUAACACUUUUAGAUAUUCAAUAUAGUAAAUACACAAAAUUACUAGUAUAAAAUUUAUAAUAAAGCCAUGGCAAGUCGGCAAGAUGGAAGAAAUUCUGCAAGCUAAUGAUACUGAAAAAAAAUAAUAGCAACAUCAAGCAAUAAUUUGCUUAAUAAAUAGACUACUUACUAAAAAUCUACCUGACUUUAACAUCUCUACAAAAAGAACAAGAGCUUCCGAGGCAUACCCUCUCCGCGAAUAACCCGAUAUCAUAGCCGUCCAAGAAACAACAUUCCUCUCAGGAAUUUCAUCAAACACCAUCCUGGCAUCUUCCAGGCACUCACACUUCGUGUAAAAAACAAUCAACCUGUUUCUGAGAUACACAGGUGGAAGAUACUGGGUUUUGAUCAUGUGGGCCUGGACUCUCUGGCCUUCUAUGAGACCCUUUUGGCUUACACACUCGUUUAACAGCAAAUCAUAGCCUUCAAACUUCAUUUCAGUACCCUGGAAGGCCAUUUCUAACAAGGCCUGUUUUAGGUUACUGUUAGAAAUUGCAAAUUUUGAGUUUGUUGAAUUUGGCGGGAGGGAAUAAGAGGUUAGUUUGCGGAUCAUUGUGUUCGAAGUGGAAGAGAAUAUAUGAAGAGAAUGAUUCAGGAGUGAAGUACAUUUUUGUAUGUUUUUCAGGUUCAUGUGUUUGUAUAACCUGGAAUUGGCAACGGGCAAGGUAUCCAACCCUGAGCCUAGCUGAGUCUCCAAAUUAUCACGAAUUAACCUGAAUUAUGACUUAAACCGACAUACAUGAUAAAUUAUGAGUUUAAAAUAUUUGUUUGGUUAAUUUUAAUUUAUUAAAUAAUUUAUGAAUUAUUAAAAAUAAUGUGAUUUAUGGACAACAUAUAUCUUAUAAGUAGUUUUUCUAAAAAAUGGUUUAAAAAAAUUAAAUUACUGAAAAAAUACCUCAAACUAACUUCGAACUUUAAGUCAGUUUCCGGCUUAUUUUCAACUUUAAAACAACUUCCGACUUAUUACACAGAAUGACAUUUGUCAGUUUAAAGUUAAAAAGUCGGGACAAAUAGACUCUUGAAUGGUUACCCUUCACGAUGAGCUUUCGGUUAACUUAAAAAAACGAAAAAACUUUCGCUAAAAUUGUUUUUCAAUAAACUUUUAUUUGAAUAAUUUAACAGACAGGAAAAAAAAAUCAAUAUAAAGUACUCUGCCAAUUAAGCAAAAUAUAAUAUCUAAGUUGGAUAAUUCUCGUUCUCUCCUCAAAAUUCUAAAAAAAUCUAUCAAACUUCUUUUUUCUUAACUGUCGUGAAAGGCUUGCACUAGUUUUCGCUGAUAAAAAAUCUCAAAUAAUUUAUUUUAUUCUUAUUUUUCACUACAAUUGAGAUGGUAUAUAAAACUAUACCAUAGUUUUAGUAAUAUAAUUUACAAUUUAAAUGUUCCUGAAAAACAUCCCAGAUUUUAUGAAAAAAUGGGAGUAACUAAAAUUAUAUAAAGUGAGAACAAGUUUGUGUUAUGUUUAAUUAAAAAGUAAAAUAAAUAUGUAAGGGUUAUGGUAAUUGAUGAGAAUAAUAGCUGAGACAAAUUAAUUCAAAUUCGAGAAACGCUAUUACAAGAUGUUCCUUUUUAGAAAGGUUAGAAAGGGUAAUAUAGAAAGCAAUUAGGUUACCGUAUUUGAAACAUAUUGUGUUAGUAUUUCUCCAAAACCUUUAAGUCUAUAUUUAUGUCGAUGCGUUUCUAAGUAUAUAAUAUAUAGUUUAUUCUAGACGGUUUUGGUAAAUAUUAUUUUGUCCCGAUAAAUAUAAAUAAAUAUCUAGCAAUAAUGAAAGAAAUGUUAUCAAUGGACCUCACCACCUCAGUCAGUUUAAAUAAAUAUCUAACGGCAAUGAAAGAAAUGUGAGCCGGCAACAUGCAAACCGUGAACAUACAUGUAGACAUGUAGUGUGAAAAUAAAAAGCCAGAUACCCACAGAUCACAAAGCAAAAAAGUUCAAAAAGUUAAUUGAUCGGUGGGUGUUGUUAUCUCUUUAACAUGUUAUGUUCAUAUUUUUGCAAGGCACACGAUCUUAAUGAUUCUAAGAAGACAAAGGAGUUUGGUUAAAUAACGGUCUUUGAGAUUAAAAACAAUGUUGCUUGUGUAAUAAUGAUACUCCCUCGAUCUCAAGUUAUAGGUCUAUUUUGAAAUAAACAUGUAUAUUAAGAAAAUGAUUGGUUAUUUGGUUAGAUAUAAUUUUAUGGCAUGUAUCAUUAAUUGGUAUAUUGAUAAUGGAGAAUAGAGUUGAAUUUCAAAAAAAUCACAAUAAAUAUAAUGAUUUAGUGCAUUGAGAAAUGAGAAUAAUAUUGAAUUUCAAAAAAGUCAUAAUUAAUAUAGAGAUAAAGUUGUAUUGAAAGAAGAGAUGGACAAGUAUAUUCAGACAAAUUUUAAUAUCAAAAAAGACCUAUAAAAUGAGACGGAGGGAGUAUUACUGUACUACUAGUACCAUACAAAGUCAUAAAAGUCAUAAAUUUAUGUUUUAAAUCAAAUUCAAUUUCUGGUCAAAAAAAAAAAAUUCAAAUUCAAUUUGAUCAUGUUAUAUUUAGUAGACAUAAAUUAUUAAAAAAGAAAGAUGUUUUUGCAGGCUAAAAAGGUAUACUUCUUUGCAAAGCCAACGCUCAAUUCUAAAACUUUAAAUCAAUAGAUAUAAGUUUAUUUAAGCUCCAUCAUCUCAGAAUAAAGAGCUUCUCCCCUGGGAAACUUUAUAUAGAGUAUAAUUUAACUCUUGUUUGAUCAAAAGAAUGAAUUGACGGCCUCUCGAGACCGUCACUGUUUGAAUAAACCGGAGUGGAAAUUAAUUAAAGAGAUGUUAUUUACAGUUGAAGGCUUGAAAUCCAAAGGAGUGUUCCACCUCCCCAAGUGUUCUUCUCCCCAUCCCAUAUUCACAUUUACAGCUUCAAAUCCGUCGAUAUGUUCCAUUAGAAAACCGGCAGAACUAUGAUUAACUAGUCCUUGACAUCCUGGCCUGUAGUCUACUAAACCAUCCAUAUAAUUUGUCCAUCUCCUGUAAGUGAGAUUCACAUUCUCAAAUUUCAAGUUGCGCAGAGUUCCACCUUUACAUCCAGAUAAGAAGACACCGUUUUCUGAAGUUGCAGUGAUGUUAACAAAUAGUAGAUUGGAUAUUGAACCCGAUUUCGAAUCUUCAUUUCUGGGGCAGGUUGUCACAUAUAUAGGUUCUGCUCUUCCCCACCAUGACGGGUCAUAGUAUCUUGUGGUGAUAUUUAUAUUUGAGAAAGUUAUAUCACUUACAUUUCCUGUACAAGAACAAAAAAUCACAACAAAAUCUUCAAUUAGUAGUUCAACAAAAAGUACACGAGAUGUGCAGGUGCAUUGAGGAGCGGGUGUGGGUUUAAAACUAAAAACAAUACUGAUGAACGGAGAGAUGAAAAUGGAAAGAUUUAAAGCAUUUACACAAUCAGCAGCAAAAUUCAACAUCAAGUCCUCAAAUUUUGCUGCUGAAAAUGCCAUGCAUUCUUCAAAUUCUCUGUUUUCAUUUCCCCGUCUAAUAUAUUCUAUCUGUAUGCACCACACAUAGGCAACAGAUGCAAAUCAUACUAGUUUCUCCCACGUCUAAUACGAAGGACACAAAGAUUCACUUUGUAACUUUCGCAUAUCCUUCCAACUGACUCAAGUACCAAAAAGCAAUGUUCUAAAAAUCGCUAAACAUCCUAGGGCGGUCGGGGUACCUUUAAACAAUUAAUCGAUAGAUCAAAGAUUAAUUGGAAUGAUUUCAAAUUUAGAUUAUUAAAAUUAGAUAUAAAUAAAUAGUCAUGACAAUUUUGUGCUACUAGCUGUGAAUUUCACUUAUAGAUACCAUCAAAUAUUAAAUAUAUAUGUGUUACAUAAAAUAUAAGACUACCCAUGUAAAUAGAUUUAUAGUACCACACAUUGCUUCCACGCGAUAUACAAAGAAAUUAAAUAAGACCGAGUUACCUAGAAGUUAAUAGGUUUUUUUGUAACUAUUUAUUUUUUUAACAUUUAAGUUGUAAAAUAUGAUUGCCUGCGGGAUGUUGAUCAUUUUUUCAAGGAAACNNNNNNNNNNNNNNNNNNNNNNNNNNNNNNCCUAAAUUGCCACCUAGGACUGACUUGGGGCAUUUUAUGACCGCCUGGGCUAUUUUUAAAACACCACUAAAAAGGAGUCCCAAAUCAGUGUAAAAGCAACAAGAAUUCUAAACAUAUCAAUAAUAACAUAAUGAACCAGCUACUAUGAUGACCAAGUAAAAGUAACUUGAGCAUUUCCAGAAAAAGUUUAGCAAUUUGGUUUUUCUUGCAAUUUUGGCUCCUCGGGUAGUGGUAAUAUUAUCACGUUCAUAUAAUUUCUAAUAUAUAGAGUGCACCUGGGGUAGUGGUAUCAUAUGGGACUAAGUUUGAUUCUUUGGAUGUACUUUAAUAUCUAGUAAUAUUUUUGACUUGAAUCAUCAUAUAUAAAGACAACAUUACAUCUGGUGAUGAAUGUCCUAGCAUAACUUUUCUUACAUGUGUACCCUGGUAUCCUAAAAUGAGAGAAUAUCCUCGACUGAAACGAACUUGAAUAAGAUUUGGUAAGCUGAUAUCACGUCUCAAAACAGGAAUAUACUAUCAUUUUGGCACAGCGGUAUUACAACACAUAUGAUAUGGGCACCAACCUAAGUAAAUGGUCACCAGAAUUUCUACAAUAAAUAAGAUAUUAUACUUACCUCCAUCUCGAAUCUGUAGACCAAGUCCUCUGUGAGAUUCUACUAUGGUGAUAUUAUCAAAAACCAGACCCUUGAAGUCAAACCAGCUAGCACUUCCAAGUUUGAUAGCUGAAGAUUUUGUUCGAAUCCAACAAUCAGUCGCGGUAAGGUUAUAGAGAGGACCAUCAUAUGUUUUUGGGCAAAUAGCAUCAUCUCCAGUGUUAAUGUUGCAUCUAGUAAUGAAUGUAUUAUUGGAAUCAUCUAUAUCUAUUCCAUCAUUGUUUGGUGUAUUGAAAUCUCCAUAUAUUGAGACAUCAUGUAUCAAUGAAUUUUCACACUGUACCAGGUGCAAGCUGCAUAUAGUUAAAACGUCUUUUUUAGAUAGAAAUAUACAUAAGAAAACUAAAAAGUAUGGAAACUAUCAAGUAGGAGACCCAUCAGCAACUAAAUUUAUCCAUAAACUCUUAAAGGCAUAUCAGACGAAGGGGUCGUUUGAUUGACGGGGAUCUGGAAUCAGGUAUGAGUUUUGUUCAUUCCAAACCCAUACCUGCUGUUUGGUUGUAAAAAUUAAACUUUCAAACCCAUACCUCAAACCCCCAAGGUAUGGGUUUUUGAUACCCAAGAGAGGAGGUGGGUAUGGAUAUCAAUUUCAUUUUCGAUAUUUUGGCUCUAUUUCAAUAAUUAAAUAUUAAUUUGUAAUACGACAAUUAUCAAUGAUGCAAAAAUAUAAUAUUAUAAUAUUUUUUUUAAUUUUUUAAUUAAUAGUAAUAUAAUUUUUUUUAAAAUUGAAUAUAUUAAUUUUAGAACACAACCAAACACAUGAUAUCAAAUAUGAUACCUUAAACCCAUAUCAUCUUAACCUGAUUCCUCAUUCCAACUCCAUACCACCCGGCGAACCAAACGACCCCUAAAAGUGGAGGUAAAACACAUAGUAUAUGAUCCCACAGAUUUCACUCUACUUGCACUGUCAUUUCUCGGUCCUUAUUCGUAGUUCUAACAAGGGUUCACUGGGGCGCCUUAGAAAUGAUGCAUAAUUAGCUAAUAUAAUAACAACAAAUUCCAUAAUUUAUGCCGUAAAAUUUCAUAACACAUAAUGGCUAAGAGCAUCUCCAAUAGUGUUGGCUAAAAAUGAUUGGCUAAAUUGACUUAUAUCAUAUUAUGAAAAAUUUAUCGAAUCUGUAAGAUAUUUUGUUUCGAUGAUCGUAGUUACAUGAAUUGACUAUAUUAUUUUAACAUGAUAAAAGAUAAUGUGAAAUCUUGCGACACUUCUAAACUCUUUCAUCUCGCAUCUCAUUCAAAUCACUUUUUACACUAAUGUCAAAUAUUAAGAAGAAAAAAAAAAAACUUUUCCGAAUCUGCGGGGCACAGAAACAACAGCUAUAAGCGAUUAAUUUAGAAAGAGAGGGAGUAAAAAAGAAAAAGACUCACCACCAGUACGCAGGCUGAAUCAAGUUCACAUUCCAAACCCGAACAUUUUUACUGCGUAAAAAUCCCACGAGCCUGGGCCUACACUCAUCACCCAAACAGGCCCCACUUGUAUUCCAGCUCACCAUAACAUUUUUCCUCUCAUCAAAUCUCUUAACAAACUUCAACCCCUGUCCAUUAAUCUCCCCGCCGCCGGUGAUCCCCACAUUCUCCGCAUCCUCCGCCACCACCACGUACCACCGGCUAUUCUCCGCCGGAUAAUCCCUCUGCUUCGUUCCUCCCAGGAUCGUCGCAUUCUCUUGCACUUCCAAUACCACGCCGGAUUUCAGGAAUAUUGUAGCCGUUAGGUACCUUCCCGGCGGGAAGAUGACGUGGCCGCCGCCGAGAGCGUGGCAGUCGUUGACGGCGGCUUGGAUGUACGGAGUGUCGUAGUGAACGCCGUCGCCGACGGCGCCGUAGUCAGUGACGGAAAGCGUUAAAAUUGACUGGGGUAGUUGAAUUAUUUCUGAGCUGGAAGAUUGAGUUGUGAAACAUAUGGAUAAUAAUAUAACUAAAUUUGAAAAUGCGGAAAAAUAAAAUUUCAUUUUUGCGAUGAGAGGAAGAUUAUUACGAGUAGAUCGAUUUACAAUGUUUGCAAUUGUUAGGCCAACAGCAUCGUGCACCUUAUAAUAUUUUUUUAUUUUUCGAAACGGGAUCAACUUGAUCUCGCAUUAUUAUAUUCUGCAAUAAUGUGAUCAAAUAUAUAGUGCAAACCUUAUCUUGGAUUUGUUGGCAUACAUGUGAUUGUUGAAUUGCUUCAAAGGAAGAACAUCAACUUGAGUGAAGCUUUACAGCUUGUGCUAUUUUUGAAUUCGUUGUGCAGGGGCUCGUUUAACUGCUAGUAUGGAUGUGGAUAAAAUCGUGUACAUCUCAAAAUGAUUCGGCACCACCAUAACUAUAAUAUGAAUUGCGAUGGAAUUGAUGGUGUAAGAGCUUUUCCAAACAUUGAAAGCUCUUGGCUAAAAGAUGAGUUGCAUACUAAAAAUAAAAAAUUUUAGCAAACAGCUCGAAAAAUUGAUACUCACCACACCUAGCUAUUGUCUAUAAUUUUAGUCAACCUCCUAUGGAUAGUCAAAUUUUUCGAACCUCUACAAGUCUGUAAAAAAUCUAAGAAAUCUGUAGGAUGAUUGCACAUCAUUUGUUACCAUAUUGAACUGAUAUAUUCUAUUUUAACAAUCUAAAAUAUUAAUAACAUUCUAUUUUUAAAUUAUAGCCAACCAAUAUAGCCAAUACCAUUGAAGGAAAAUGUCUUACAGAUUCAGCAAAUUUUACAUAAUGUCUUACAGGUCUCAUUUAGCCAACGAUUAUAGCCAACGCGUCGCCAUUGGAGAUGCUCUAACAAAUUAAAAAAAGGGCGGAUAAAAAACUUUGUCCAUUAAGAAAAAGAAAAAUGCUAGGUAUUGGAAAAAUUAUUUCUACAAUUUUAUUGUGAAAUUUCAUUAAUAGUAAUGGGAUCCUUUUAUGCGUAUAUAAAUUGUCCUAUAAAAAUCAAUAACUUGUCUGUCAUAUGAGAAAAUUUGGGUUUUUUCAUUUUCAUGUUAAUUUAUCUUCAGCUUCCUAAAACUCUCCACGACGCACUAAGAGCAUCUCCGACCAUCAAAAACUCUUGGCUAAAAGGUGAGUUUGCAUACUUAAAAUAGAAAAAUUUAGCCAACAGCUCGAAAAACUCAACUCCAACCAUGCACAGCUGUUGUCUAUUAAUUUAGCCAACCUCCUAUGGAUGGCUAAAUUUGUCGAACCUCUACAGGUCUGUAAGAAAUCUGUAAGAAGAUUGCACAUCAUUUAUUACCCAUAUUGAACUGAUAUAUUCUAUUUUAACAAUCUAAAAUAUUAAUAACAUACUAUUUUUAAAUUAUAGUCGAUCAAUAUAGCCAAUACCAUUAAAGCAAAAAUUCUUACAGGUUAGCAAAUUUUACAUAAUGUCUUACAUGUCUCAUUUAGCCAACGAUUAUAGCCAACAACGUUGGAGAUGCUCUAAGAGAACCCUAAAAAGUACUCCCUCCGUCCCAAUAGAUAGUAUACAUUUGGUGUGGACACGGAGACCAAGAAAACGUGUAAAAAAUGAGUAAAGUUAGAUAAAAAAGUAAGUAAAGUGGCGGGACCCAUUUAUAUUUAAUUAUAGAUGUGUGAUAGUGGGGGAAAGUAGUGGGUGUAAUAGUGUUUAUAUCAUUAUAAAAUGAAGAUAGUGGAAGAAAAUAGUUGGUGUAAUAGUGUUUUACAUUAUUAAAAGUUGCUAUUUUAGGAAUGUAUAGAAAUGAUGGGACAUCCCAAAGAGGAAACUGUUUGAGAUGACCGGGACGGAGGGAGUAACAAGCAAGAAUUGUGAAGCAUUAUAUAAAAUCCGUCCGAAGUUGGAAACAAAAUAAACUCUAUCCGCCAAAGGGAAAAAUAGGGGGAUACGAAAUGAGGAGCUUGUCUUUCUAUUAGUUACGUUUUCUCCAUUUCCUUAUGGAAACAUUACUUUAUUCUUUAAACUAUAACAAUCAGGUGCGACUUAUCCACGUGCUUAAAUAGCGGGUUCGGCCUUCGUUUCAUAAAUUGUUAAUACAAACACGGAAUCUAUCAUUUCUAUACUUAAUAUGAGAUUGUAAGGUCAGUUCAUUAUGACAUUUAUAAUUAUAAAUUAAUAUAUCUCUAAAUAAAAUUCUCUGUUACAACAUUUUCUGAAUUUUAAGCAUUAAUUAAUACAGAACAUUUGUUAGAACAGUGUUUAUCAUCAGACCAUGACACGUUAUCUAUUUGAAAAGGAAAACACAGCUCCGUUGGCUCCUAUUAAUAUGGCUGCCCUACAAGUCUGAUACUAUGACAACUAUAUAGUCUGAAUUAUUGUACUCUGGAUUUAGGCGUCCUUGUGUCACAAGUACUAGUACUAAAACAUGGGCGAAGGACAGUCUUAUUCCUAAUCAUAACGCCACGGUGUACUGAAAACACCAGUUAACCACUGGCCGACCAAGCCAUCACUCUUUAAGAAAUGAGAGACUUGUGGUAAAGAGCAGGAAGAUUAAAUAAUGUAAUAAACGGUCACCACUCACCACAAACAUAUUCCAUAACAUAUAUAGCUUCUCCGCUUGGCUGUUCUUUUCCUUCUUUAAGAGAUCAAUCACUUCACGCUUAAAUGGCGAAACAAAUGAAUCUCCAAGUUAGUAUUAAAGAUACAAUAUACUAGAAAUCUCCCAGCAGCUAAGGAAUUCUGACUGUUGCAACAAAAGCUAAUUUAACGCAGAGGCGUCCCCUCUGUUUAUCCACUAUCUACUAAUACUAUAUCCAAUAUAUACAAUCUAGCUAUCCUUAAUGCCUGUGACUUCCCUCAAUCUUCACAUCUCCAUCUUCAGCUGGUUUGAUUGCAAAGAAGCUGUGGCACAAAACAACCUUAAAUAUAUUACAAUUUCAAUAUCAUCACAAGCACUUAUUACUCUUGUCAACCCAAAAACAGCCGUUUUGUUAUAUUGUUAAUCAAACUGGGUGGACAGACUAAUUCAUUUCUUACUCCAUGCAUCACUAUGUCUACUAGACUACAAAAUAAAAUUUGUCCUAAAAUUAUUUUGGUUAGAUUAAUGUGUCAGACUUGAAAACAUGUCCUAAUGUCGAACUUGGCGAUAUAUUGAAACCCAAAUGAACAGGGUCCAAUAUUCUCAAUGAAAUAUAGGUAAGGGUAACAUAGCAUGUACCAACAUCAUAGCUGGUUUAUAAGAGUAAAAGCACACUGUUUAAAAAAUAAUUAUAUGCUUGAAACCAGGUAUUAUGAUAUGUGUAAAUUACCUGAAUUUGCCACCGAAUCAUAGCUUAAAAGUGAAUUAUCUGGCGUAACAAAGUUAGUGUUGUCUUCUUCCCUAACCCAGGAAGGCUGAUGGAGCAAGUCAAACGGCCAUAAAUGUUGAUAUUGCUGUCUGUUGAUGCUUCCAUUGACUUGUCCUUCCAUACAGGUCGUUGGCAUACAAACUCCUGGAAAGCUGCUUUCUAUCAUCGAUCCACCCUUAAAGAUUAAAAGAAAUAAUGUAAAAUCUAAUACAAUUAAUGACACAAAAAUUUGUCAGGCAGUAAAUUUGUGUGAAUCUAGUCUUCAAUCUAUAACUUAUUGUUAGGAGCGAUUUUAUAAAUUCAUAAUUAGUCUGUUUGGCUAUAUAAUUUUAUUGAAUUCUUAACAUAUAUAUAAUUUACUUUUCUGGAAAUUUUAACUUCGAUGCAACUUUUUGUGCUUGCAACAACUCCAGACUCAAAAGAUAACUUACCUGUUUUAGCCUUUUAGGGGCUUAGGCAAACAGGGUCCCAGACAUACCUACUUAACUAUAUUAUAAUACUCAUUGCACCAAACCAUGCUAUUUGAUUUUCAUUCUGAUUUAGAAAUGCAAAGAUGUAUUUUAAAACUUGCAAAUUCUGCUGAGACCUCAAGUGACAUGGUUACAUAUAUACAAUAAAAAGAUAUCAUGUGUAAGGUACUUAUUAGGGAACAUCUGUCAGAUGCCCAUUCUACCAUGUCUAGUGACUGCGUUGGGGGACCUAUUGUCCUGGGAGACCUUGCAAUAGUAAUUCCUAAUACAAAUUGAAAGUAACCCGAGCUUGACGUUACCCUUUUGGCAUCUUAACAAGCAGUUGAGGAGGUAAAUAUGCGAAACAGAAGGUCCAAAUCUGACCACUGUCUUGCCUCUAUAUUAAAGGUAAAACACUAUCCUUUGAGAUAUUGUACAGGGACCCAAGAAAGAAGAGCAUUUAAAGAAGUCCAAAUAUUUUAUUGUCCUUCCCACUUGCAAAUUUAUGAUGGAUGUUUUUACGGUAUCCAGCAGGAUAAUGUUCAGAGCUGGCAAGAUGGUCCUAAAACUAUCAACUCGAAUCAUUAAACUUGCACCUGUUGGGUUGGUUAUCCAUUAAUAUGUAGAUGGCUUCAUAAACCAACCUCAAUUAUUUAGAGACAACAACCCAGCUAACUAAGACUCAUAAUAUGGAGUAAUUAAAUAGUUGGCGUAACCGAGUUGGUAAAAGUUUAAUCUUGGGCUGGGAUUGCCUAGAGCCUAAAGGUGCUUGAUCCUCUAACCAUUAUUUUCCGGCUGAUAUUUUUUUCUUCUAAAUUUUAUUUUUUUUCUCAGGAAACAAAAAAUAUAAACGCAAUACUCCAACAUUACAUAUAUUGUAAAUGACAAUGCUAUUAAAGAUUAAUAUAUGAAGUAGUAUCAUUAAAAAAAAACUAAAGUAUAUAUAUUUCUAAUAGAAUAUUUUUGUCCAACUAUUAUAUUUACGUUGAUGCUUCAAAUAUAGACUAGUCAAAAUUCAUAGAACAGUUGAAAACUGCAUAUGAAAAUCAUGACUUUAGAUACAAAUCAUAAGAAAGUAAUAUAUAAAUUCUUAUGUCUUAAAUACAAAAUCCAAGCCGCCUGUGAUCUGCUAGUUAUCAUAGUUAUUAUAAUACUCAGGGAGUCUUAGUUAUGAAAUUGCUAGACUAUUAUUUUUAAUUAGCUGAAAGCCUGAAAUACAACAAUCAACAGAAUGAAUCCCUCUGUUGAUGUCUAAACUAUUAUGUACAUCGUACAAUAGAAUACUAAGAAAGAAUCACCAAAAAGAAAUAAAAAAUGCAAGGGUCCUAGUGUUCAUUGAUAACUUGGUGUCAGGACUUCUUCCAUCCUCUUAUACCAAAGGUCAGUGGUUCAAAUCUUCACUCCCUAUUCCUGAAUACUUAAAAUCUAAUGCAUUGAAUUAUAUGUAACGUACCCAAAAAAAAAGUGAGAAAGAAUGGAGAAGAUUGAUAACAACAAAGUAACAAAUAUGAGAAAAAAUAGUGCCUCAAAGUACUUAUUUCAAUUCUAAAAUCUAAAGAUAAAUUAAGACUAAAACAGAUUAUAUAGAAGUUGAUAAAGUAAGAUAUAAAUAUAACACAUGUUGAAAAGAAAGAGCUGCAAUUGUAGUCAAAUAAAAACAAAAACAGUGAGAUACUUAGAGUCUCAUUUAUUCGUACUUCACUGAUUCAGAAAGGAACCUAACAGACUAAAACCAAGACCAAACAAUUUCGGCCUAAAUAUUUUGACUAUAAUGAAUUGGAAAAUGGUUUGAUUUCUUAGAGAUAAGAAAAACAUUAAGUGAUGCCAAAUUUACCCAAAAACUGUAUAACACAAGCUACAUCUGAGUAAUAAUUCAUCGGUGCCAGUCCUGUUGCUUGAAAUUAAAAACUAAUUGCUAUUACUGCAAAUAAUAAGUAAAAUUUGUUGAGCACACUUACUUCUGUGGCAAAGAGACCAUCUAGAUUGAUAUCAACUCUUGGAUUUACAGCAGCAAGUCUCAUCGAUAAGAACUGAAUCAAAAUAUAAACACAAAAGAGGAGAUGUUUAAACUAAAUGUCAUUGUUCAAUUAAACUAUUGCAGACAGCACCUUACUAUCUUGCUGGGAAACAUUAACAAUCAUCAGCACGUAAAGGGAAGACUAUAACAGAAACCAGUAUAUUGACGAGCUUUAGCUUUACAAUCAAUAUAGGCAUGCAUUAUAACUAGGUUGAAAGUAUCAUUUUCCUGGUUAGUUUAGAUCUUAGGCAAAGAUCAUUAAUUAUCCCCAACUUAACAAUAAAGCAAACUUCUAGUAUAUCAAUUUGACUAACCAAUAUAUUUAGCAGGCAUAUACAUCUAGAAUAAAAAACACUAUGUGCAUAAAACAUAUGCCUAACCUCGACUUGGCGUUGUAGAGAUUGUACAUGAUUGAUGAUCUCGUCCAAUACCAUUGCUGUACCUGAAAUCUGCAACGUAAUCCACAUAAAUUUUCUUGUUCCAGUACAGGAAGAAGCUAUUGGCGCUUGAAGCAGGUAAUAUUCACUACUCCAGAUAACAUGCCACUUCGUGAAAUUCUAAAGUGCUCUGUUCUGAUUACUUAAAACUAGACCUGUCAAUCGUGUCAUGUCAUGUUCUUUAGUGUCGUGUACUUUCGUGUUUCGUGUACCCAUAUCCGACCAGUUUAAGAUUUGUGUACCUAAUCUCAAACCCAUAUCCGUUUCGAACCAAGUCGUGUAGUUUUCGUCUAUGAUUAAUAUAAAUUUAAUAAUAGCAUUUAAUUAAAAAAUAUAUUUUAAAAAUACAUUUUUUCUGUAUUAUUUUAUGAAAUAUAUAUUAAAUAUUUCUAUUUGCAUACAAUUGUGUACAACUAUUGACAUAUAUAUAUAUUAUAUAUGUAAAUAUAUAUUUUUUACAUGAAAAUAUAUUUAUUUAUUUAAAGAUAUAUUUAUAUCGUGCACUUUUGUGUAUAUAAAAUGAAAAUCCAUAUUCGACACUAAAUUCACCGUGUAUUUUUCUGUUCGUGUCCCAAAAACUGAAACCCAAACACUAACUUUUCGUGUCGUGUUGUCACGUCGUGUACCAAAUUGUCCAUGUGUUUUCAGUAGGGUACCAAAUUGUCAGGGCUACUUAAAACCCCCAAAAGUGCUAAACACUUCAUAUAGAUAGCAUAAUUUGAAGGUUACUGCAAGCACUUUAAAUUUAUUCUCUAAAUCUAUAAACUUUGCAGACACUUGAAGUGAGAAUGAGCCCUUCCUGUCAUCUGUGGAAGGUCUUUUACACUAACGAUCAGGAAUAGCAAAAACUAAAUGUCCUGGCAGUUUCAUCAAAUUAGCUCUUCUGUAAUCCAAUAUAAUUUUGAUAGGGGAAAAGCUAUUACUCAUUAAUUUAAGCCAACUUAUGACAGCAAAUGCUAUUACAUGCCUAAUCUAUUUGAGAUGCUUAAAAGAGUCUACUUUCUGCCAUGGUUGAAAACUAUCACAUCAUAGACAUAUAAAUGUCAAUACCUUUAGUUAGUCGGAAACAAAAUCUCGGUUUAGUAAUUAUUUUUGGAUUCAUCCCCUCCCUCUGAUAUUUUGUUUGUAAUAUGCACCACUCAAGUGCCUAAGAAAAUUCUCAAAGACUUAAUCAAGUUAAGAACAGAUAUAGUAGCUGGGCCCAACCCAGAUCAAGAUUAGCUUUAGAAGUUACAUGCUUCGCUGUAUUUGACAUUGAGUGAUUCCCAAAUUUCAUUUAAUUAAUCAGAUGGCAUUUUUUGCUAUUUAUAAGGAUAUCUGACCACUUGAGCAUCCCCUUGUCCCCUGGUACAGUUAAUUACACCCCAGAAAUAAAUUAAUACAGCACGCCACUCUAUAGAGAAAAAUGACAUGUACUUUGGUACUUGCAAAACCAAAACUAAAACAAGAAGCAAGUUCUUUUUUUAAUUUUAAUAACAAAGAAGUCCUUAUAUAGAUACUAUACAGUAUACACCAACCAAGCAGCUGGUAAAUUUUAUAAUAAUUCUCAGUAGGCAACUUUUCAUUAACAUCAACACAAUUAAUCUAAUUAUAAAUGAUUAUUAAAUACUUGAAACUUGAAAGAAAUCAGCACCUUGUUGCAACCUGGGACCAGUUCCUGGAGCAACUUCAUCCUAGCAUUUAUCUUCUCUCUCCUCGCCUGCCCCCACAUUAUAAUUGAAAAAUACAUCAUAAUCACACAAUAAUAAGAUAAGUAUAUAUACAAGUACUUAACACUAAUGACAAAUUAAGAAUGGAGCUAAUUAUGAGAUUACUCUUUCAGCUAAGCUAUGGCUAUCUGUAGCUUGGCCUCGACGAGCUCGGACGUGAACAUAAGGGAGCUUCUCCUUGUCAUUCUCCGCAUUUUUACUCUUUUUCGAGGGUGCUUUCGCCUAAAUUCACAAACAAGCCAUCAAAUUAGCCACAAAAACAAUAAUUACCAGAAAUAGAAACCCUAAAAACCGUAGUUGGGCACUCCCUACCUUCUUUUCCCUCUCUUUCCGCUUACUCGACUUUUGAUCACUAUUCGGAACCACUGAAUCAGACAUUCCUGGUGACGAAUUACGAUGCGAUUCAGACUCCACAGGCUCCUGCUUCACGUAAUUCGCCGGAAUUGAACUCCUCUCCGGCGAAUUCUCCGUCGCGAAAACAGAGAAUUUCGAAGCUCGGUCAAUUAAAGCAGGAUUAGACGGGAAAAUAGGAGCGUAAGGAUAGAGUUUUGGCUGUUGAGCUUCUCCGGCGAGUUUUUCCGGCGUGUGCAAGAGCUUGACGGCUUGAUUUGGCGGGAGUUCUAAAAGAGCGGUGAAAGAAUUACCGGAUUCCGGAGGCACGGACAUCAAGGUUUGAAGCUCUUCUCCGAAUCGGAGUGACUCGUCGGCGAUUUCUUCGACUAAUUUACCGGAUCGGACCUCCUCUGUUGGCUCCAUGUGAAUAUAUUUCAAUUGAUUAAUUAAAAUGUUUAAGUCUGAGUCCUUUAAAGUUAAAUUGUUGAGGUACACAGCCAAAGAGAGAAACAAUAAGAUGUAAAUGGUACUUGACACUUUCCAACAGCAGACGUAGUAUAUGAGAGAGAGAGAGAGAGAGAGAGAGAGAGAGAUUUAUGUGUGUGAAAAGGCAGGCAGCUAGAGCUAGAUAGAGGGUAUCAAUGGAGGUCAGUGAAUAUUAUAAUCUACUUAUCUACUUAUCUACUUAUAUAUAUAAUAGCCCAACACGUUCGUGUCAAGCCUCCAUCCUGAGCAAAUAAAUUACCUAGCUCCGAACCCGAGCCUAACUCCGAACCUAACUCCUCCUCAUACAUAUAAAAAAAAUGGUAUUCAUCGGACUCGAACCCAAGCCCUCUUCAUUACAAUUACACCACUCAAACCACUUGAGCUACAUAGGCAAUUAAUUUUUUUACUCAAAAGCAUUAAACUCAUACAUUAAAACUAUUGUAUUUAUAUUCUUUUCAAUAUCUUAUUUAUUUAUUAAUUUGAGAUAAGUUUUUGAGAAACAUUUAUUUGAGAUAAGUUAUUAUUUCAGGUAAGUCUCAUAUGUUUUUUACAUGAUAGAUUAAUAUCCAUAAAUUAAUUACUAACGUAAUAAAUUUAAAUUUGAAAAAUUUUUUGAACAAUUGGGUUCGAGGCAUGUUUCAGACUUCAAAAAAUGGAUAUAAUUCAUAUUUGAUUAAAAUUGGACGAAUUCAAAUCUAACUUAAUACUUUAAACGAGUAUCGGUACAAUAUUAGAGAAAUUUAAGUCAUGCAUGUGAGAAAUAAGUACCAAAACUAAGAUUUCGAUGAGCAUCUUUGAAAGGAAAAAUUGAUGGACUUUCAACAUGGACCAUGUCAUAUUAUUUUUCUUUAAUUAUAAAAGGUGACUUAUCAAGAGAUUACAAUAUUUUGAAAAACAUAAAAUAAGAUAACUGAAAGAAUAAUUUUAUUUAGAUUACUUUUUAUUUUAAACUUAUGAAUUCAAAAUUCGACGUGUAACCAAAUCUUUUCAAAAAAAAAAAAGUAUAGAUAUAAGAAUAGUGACAAAGACAUCAAAUUUGGUGUUAGAAAAUAUGUCUAAAUGAUGUGAUUUUGGUAUUUGAAAUAUUAUAUAACUUGUGAUACAAAAGUGAAUUUAGGGAAAUUCUAUGUUGUUAAUCAAAAGUCAACCAAAUAAUAAUAAAACGUGUUUACGAGACCUACUAAAAAGAAUUGAGUUAUAAAUUUUACUUGCUUAAAAUAAAAUAACACAGAGAAAUAAGUUAUAUAUAUAUAUUAAAGUCUUAAAACUAUAAUUUUAAUAUGCCAUCCAUCAAUGUAUAACAUACGAGUUAAAUAAAAUGAUUCAAACUAUAAUUAAAUUAAUUAAUCAUUUACAAAUUAAACUAAUAAAAUAUAAUUAAUUCUGAAAUGGAUAAUCCGACGCGAUAAGGUGAAAACUAAUAUCUGAUUAAACGGGAUUAGAACAAGAAUAGUUUUCCAUAAUCCAUAAUAUCGAAGACCUGAUUUGAUAUUUAACAAUUGAACAUGAUAUGCUACAUUGCUCACCCCUAAGAAAUAAGAGUAUCAUAAUAUUUAAAAAUGUGAGUUUGCACAAAGCUCAAAAAGUAACUAUACGACUAAUUAAACUAAAUAUUUCUUAUUUUCAUGAAUUUUAUGGUGCCUAACUGACAUCUACUCUAUUUUUGCUAUUUGACAUCUGGUUUAUAACAAUUACAUGAAAAAUCACUAAAAGUCUUAAUCAACAAGCUCUGAAAACUAAUGAUAAAAAAUUAAUAUUUUAUAACAAGACAAUAUUAUAACACGCGGUAUCAAAGUAAUAAUCAUCUAAUAUUUUAAAUUAACAAAAAAAAAUAAGAUAUUGAAGUACUAUAUAAUUGAUAUGAAAAUUAAAAGAAUAAUCCACAUCAAACGUGUAGGAAUUUUUCGGGUACAAUUAUAAAGUUAGUAGUUCAAUUGAUGCUUUUAAAAUAAAUUAAGGUAGGAUCUUUUACAUACAAUAUAUGUUUCAAUUAUUAUUUAUACAAGGUGUGUGCAAUAUAUGCUAAAAAAUAAUGUGUUGAUGGUCUGUCCAUCAUAUAUCACUUAACUAUUACACAAACGUACGCUCAAAAAAAGAGAAAUAAAUAUAAAACAACGCGGAUCACACAUCUUCAUCUAAUCAUGAUUUAGGAUAUCGUAAUUCACAUAUCAAGAACAAGUUUUCAUAUUGGAUGAAAUAAUUUAAUAAUUUUCAACAAUAAAUUACAGAUCUUUUUAGUGAGGUAUAAUAUAUUUAAAUUCUAAAAGUUUCAGUAUUAACUUCGAAUAUAAUUUUGAACAUGUAGAUAAUAUGGCAGUGGCCUCUAUAUCCUAACGAAUUUGAAUAUAGAAAAAUAAGUUCAAAUGUUAUUUUUGAUCCAUAAUUUUUUUUUGAAUAUAGUACAUAUUAUUACUAUCAAUGCUAUUAGAUUGCAAAUGUUACAUUUCAUAUUUACAUAUUCAGUUAAAAAAUAAGACGUAAUAGUUAUACUCGGAAUAAUAUGAUAACACACGAAUAUUAUUUAAAACACAACAAAAACUAGAGUCCCGUGCCUCGCACGGGCUUUUAUGCUAGUUUGAUAAUUAAAAAAGAAAGCGAGGAAAUGGAAAUAAGGCAAUUAGGCAAAUGAAGUACAGGGAAAGCAACGUUGUGUUGGGGGGAGAGAGAGAGAUGGGAGAGAGGGAGAGAGCGAGGGAGAGAGAGAGAGAGAUGGGAGAGAGGGAGAGAGAUGUAUAGGAGGGGGCGUAGAUAUGGAGGGAGGGGGGGUACUUAGUGGUUAAGUGGCGCAGGGGAGGGGACCGUGACCCGACACUAUAUUAUAACCGUAGAAGCGAGACUGAUGGGUCAUUAUCUUGCAUUUAUAACGUCGCUUUUAACUAGAGCGGGGCUACUAUUUUUACUCUUUCCAGCUAAACACCAUACUACUUGUAGCAUUUACUUGUUAAGUUGCCAACUUGCUUCAUCCGCUGUCUUCUUUCCUGCCUUCCCUCCCCUUCCAAGUACCACUGUCCAACACUGACAGUGGCGGAACCAGAGGGGGGCUAGGGGAUGCUAGAGCCCCCCCUAACCUCGAAAAAACAGUGUUAAUUUUUUUCCCAGCCCCCGCUGAAUUAUUCAUGUCAAUAUAAUUUAGGGCACUUAGAUCGAGUUCAAGAGAUGUCUUAUAACACGUCUUAAGUCAAAAUUUGGGAUAUUUGAUGAAAAAUGUUGAUCCAACAAUAUCCUAGUGAUGCCUUCUAUCACUAGAACAACCUCUUGAAACCUUAUUUAUAAAGCAUAUCUCUUCUUGUUAUAUCCUAUAUAUUAUUAUAAUAGUUAUACAUACUCUCUUUCUCUCUCUGCUUUGAACUUGCUCUUAGUCUAAAGAGAGUCUGAUUAACAAAUACAUUCAAACAGGUACACUCAUAAGUCAUACGCACACACUCUCAUCAUGAACUUGGUCUUACUUCACCGUUGAGAAACAACACUACUCUAACUCAGCUUCUCACUGCGAUAAAUUCAUUCAGCCGUGAACCCGCGACAAUAUGCUCAAAUGCGCUCUCCUUUCCGGCGGCCAUGUCACUUAAAAUUGGUUGUUUACGAUUUUUCGGAGGUCUACAAUGGCAUAAAAAAAGUCGAUGUACUAUGAGUCAAUUUUUUUUUUCGACGCCGCUUCUUAUUGCUGUAUUUAUGUUAAUGCACUCGGAAAACGUUCUCUUUUAGGCCUUUUAACCAAUAACUACGUGCAACCUAGAGAGAUGGUCGUAUCUCUUUAAUGAAUGUGGUAUCAAUGUUCGAUUCAAAUUUCAAUCGGUCCCUCACAAUCUCACUUGCUUCCAAAUUUGAGCCCCCCUAAAUAUUAUUCCUGGUUCCGCCACCGAACACUGAUAUAGUAGCUUGUCAUCUAUGUUUAUCCCUCAAUUUAUUUUUUAUUUUUUUGCAGGACAAUUUAGCACUAACAACAAUUUUCUUUCUUUCUUUUAAAUGUUUUGCCACCUUGCUUGAUGGUUGCUUCACGCAUGGUAACACGUUCGAGUUUGAAAUUGGAACUUGAUAAAAUUGAUGAAAGAGCUGAUUCCGAACAUAUUUUGAUUAAUCGAAUUAUAUUCGUGCCAUUUUUAGAUUUAAGGUGUGAGUUGCACUGUGAAUGAUAUCAAGAAGGAUGUUCAGAUAUUUGAUUGUAUUGUUUUAAAUGGGAUGAAAUCAUGAAAGAAUGAAAUAAAAAUUAUAAAAAAAAUUGAAAAUUAUACAAAAUAUGAGAUAAAAAAGAUUAACUUUGAGUGUGUAUAAAUAUUUUUAUGAAUGAAAUUAUAGAGAUAUAUGAUGGAAAAGUUGAGACAAUUAUUCUUCUGAAAUGUGGAUAAAAUUUUUGAUACAAAAUUAUGUAGCUGAGACAAUUAUGAUGAAAAGUUGAGACAAUUAUUCUUGUAAACGGACUAUUUUAUGUAGCGUUUUGUUCUUAAAACAUCAUAUCGUGUCGUGUUUUGUCGGAUUUUUUUAUCUGAACGUAAUACGAUCUAGUAUUUUCGUCCUAAAAACAAAAUGAAGGAUUAUCCGACGCAUUUAAAUGAUAUUUGUGAUCAUUUAUCCCCAUUCUAUUAUUUUAAAUAUUAUUUGUGAAUUUUGUAUAAUCUAUGAAAACAAAGACUUAUUUGGAGUUGAAAGUUGCAUUUAUACAAUACUUUUUAUAAUUACGUAUUUAACAUAUGAUUGCUAUUUCUUAUGCUAUGAGUCGCUUAUUUCCAAAAACAAUUACACAUUUUCGUACUUUAGACUAAUAAAUAUAUGAUUUAUUUUUAAAGAAAAAGAAAAGCUAGACAUGAUGAAUAUAUGAUCAAAUCAAACAUGCAAAAGUUUGAUCACUAAAUUAUAGUUGGGUACAAUUUGUUGUAAUAGUUAUCUUGAUCUAUUUUGAUAUUAAAGAUGAUUUCGAAUAUUUAAAGUUCAUAUCUUUAAAAUCAUAUAAAUAACUUAUUAUUAAAUUUUUAAAUAAUUUUUUAAUUUAUUUAUGUGAUAUUAUAUUAAAAUUACAAACAAAAGGAAAUUAUUAAAUUAAAUAAAUAAACAAGUUAAUAAAUAUUAAAAUACACCCCUGUUAUCAGCCAUAUACUUUAGUAAAAUAUGCUUCCGAGUUCCGAGUAAAGUACAGCAAUCCUUUAGCUUAGCGUGAUCCAAAAUUUUUUAACAUUCAAAUAUUAUUAUUUUUAUUAUUUGAUGAUUUUGUUAACUUUUAUAAAUUAAUAAAAAUUAUAAUAUAAUUAAAACAAUGAUUAAUUAUAAAUUAAAAUUUCAAAAUAUAUAUAAUUUCAAAAUACAUAAAAUUUCAACAAUUUAUUAAUUGCUACAAAAAAAUCAAAAAUAAAGAUGUCCAUCUUGAACUUCGAAAUGCACUAAUUGAGCAUGUGUGAAGAAUAUACUGAUUAUAUGAAUUAGUAUUUUAAUGUAAUAUUUUAAUGUUUUUAAUUUAUUUUUAUGUACAGUUUUAUCUUUUUCAAAUCAUUUUGUAAUAUUUUAUAUUUUUCUAGUCAUUUAUUGUGUUAUUAUUAUUAUUGAUGAAAUUACUUAAUCAUUUUUAAAAUAUUUAAAAUCAAAGUAUAUAAAUAUUUUAAACAUGAAUGAAUUUGAAUUUAUAUUUAAAUCAUAUGAUUGGAAUAAAAUUUGCAUCUCGUCCUAAAUUUGGAUCAUUUAAUGAUCCAAAUUUGAAUCUAUGAUUGGAGUUGGACAUGGAACAACCGGUGAACAACGGAGGUCAAGAAAUGAGAAAAAACUUGUUGGUGGUCAUUGACUCAUUGUCAAUAUCAAACCAGCAAAGUUAUAUAUGUGAACUAAGUUGGAGGCGAUGCAACAAGACUUUGAUUCCUUUUGAAAAAGGACCUUGGUGAAACAAAUUGAAAUGAUUUUCCAUGUAUUUUCGGCCAACAAGACGUACGGCUGCUUGUUUUACAAAAGAUAACAACGUCUCUCCAACCCAUCAUCUUAUGACAUAUUCAUCCGGAUGUUUAAACUUUACUCCAUGCAUAUUUUACAACUCUUCCCUUGCUUUGCGUACAAAACUUAUAUAUUUUCAUUAAAAAUGAAUACUUCCAUAGAGUGCUAAAAAGCACGAACCAACCAUUUUUCAAAGUUAAAAUGUGGGAAAACGUAUUUAGUGCUUAAUUCUUUAAUUAGACGGUUAUUAAACUGCGUCAUCAAUUAAGAGCAAUGAAUUCGUGGCAAGUCUGUUGGGGUUUUGUAAUUUUUAGAUGGGAUAAGAUGAAAUUCCGGACAAGCAAUAUCAUAAAUUUAUUUAUAUGUACAAUGUUUUUUUAUCCAAAAAUAAUGGAUGGAAUAAUAAAUAAUGGAUGAGAUAAUAAAGAGAGCAAAUGCAUUAUUGAGAUGAAGGGGGAACAACAAAACCAGAAUUUGGCAGACGCAAAAAUCUCAGACUUGCUACGCUCCUAUAUUUGGAAUUUCCAAUUCGGCCAAUUUAGGGUUUGUUUGCCCAGUUUUUAACAACUUACUCGGAUAUAAGAUCUCGUAAUCUUCAAGUACAAUCCUUUCUACUUCGGUCUUCACUUUAAAGCUUCUUCCACUCUAUGAAACUUUUUUUUAAUUGAAAUAUAAGAGCACGCAGCUAGUAUCCACGAGCUCACAGACAGACUUAACCGUAUCAUAUAUUAUCCACACACAUAUAAUUGAGACCAAAAUUUCUUACUUUAUAUAUAAGAGCAACUCUAAUAUAUGAAUUUUUUAGACAAAAAAAAGAAAAAGAGAUGAUCUUAUAAGUGGCAUCAUCAUAUAUCAUUAUAUAAAAAUAUUAUAUUUCAUUUAUAAUAAAUUAAAAUAAUAAUAAUAACCGAUUUAAAAAAUAUAGUCAAUUGAUAUAAUCGAUAUUAUCAAAAUAAAUUAAUUUACAGAUUCAAGAAAUUUUACUAAAUAUCUUAUAAUUUCAAUUUAGUCCACUAUAAUAACGGACCGAUUGAAGACAUCCUGAAUCAAUAUAAGAAAUACAAGUACAAAUAAUUAUUUGGAAUUAUAACAUUGUUAUAUGAUGAUAAACGUGAGAUAUAUUUCUAUAAACAAUAUAUAAACUGACCUAUUAGUCAGAACUGGCGGCAAAAUAAGACUUCACCAAACAUACACUAGAUCUGGAGCUGCAGAAGAUGUUUUAUUGCUCAUUGAUACUGUAUCAAUUUAUUUAUAUUGUUUUUUCUUUUACAUUUCCAUCAAGGCGAGCACAAAAAAAGGUAUACAUGCGUGCGAGAAGUGCACAGAGGGGCAUCAAUUCAUUUUAUUCGAUGUUGCAAUUAAACUUUCGACUUCCUUGAGAAAAAUUUGGGGCCUAGAUAAGAAAGUGCACAGUGAAUGGACCACAAAAAUGAAGGAGAGCCCACUCUAAUGUAGUGGGCCUCUGCCCACGUGAUAUCCUCGUAAAUGCUUUAUCAUGCAUGCUGCUCUCCUCCCCCUUUCACUUAUUUCUUUUUAGAUAUUUUGCGUUUCUGACACACUUGAAACUACCACUACAGCGACGUGAGACGUCCUUGGGUAUAAAUAACUUCGUGUGUGUGUGUAUAUAUCAUCCUUUUAGUGUAUUAUUAAAAAAAUACAACUAAAUUUUUAUCGAACUCAGAUGUACAUAAAUAAGUAUGCUUUCGGACGAAGACACAAAUUCUGAGACAAAUUAACAAAUAUAAUUAUUAUAAAUUAUUAGUUUAUGCAUUGUUUUGAUAAUUUAUAUGGCAUUAAAGUGUAUAAAGAAACUAACUGGUAAAAUUAUGAUUACAAUUAAAUAAAUAUCCCCAACUCCGAUAAUUUGAAUUCGAAGCAAUACUGUAGAAGGAUAGUUUGUCAGGUUAAAAUACUAAUAAUUUGUUAAUUUUUUUAUAAACUGAAAAUUUCAAUCAAUUUAUAUUGUGAUAGCAGAAGGAUAACUUUUGAAGUUAAAACACUAAUGAUGAAUUUGAACUAAAAAUAAUUAUUUUAAAAGUAUUUCAAACAAAUUCGGAACUAAAAAGUAUGAAUAAUUAUUAUCUUCCCUUAAUAAACGGACGGUCAUUUUAGUAAAUCUAGAACUGAAAAAUGAAACUAAUAUUAUGGUUUUAUACUAUUAAAAAUUUCCUUUCAAAUAAUUUAAAACUCACAGCAAGACAAUUUCUUGUUUAUAUUAUCUUUCCUGCUACUAAAAAAAUUUCUUACACCAAAUUUGAAACCGUUAUUUCAAAAUAACUCUUACAAAUCAAAAACUACUAUUCAAAAAUUUGAAUUUGGAAAAAUUAGUUUUUAUUUUAAUAUUUAUAAUUAAAAAUUACAGAAAUUUAGAAACAUGAACUCAAACAGUCAAGAGUUCCGGUUCGCUCGGCAAUUUCAACGGUGAAAUCCAAUGAAAUAAUUUAUUUGGGCCAGAAGGGUUUGAUAAUUCUGAGCCACUGGGCCAAUAAUGGCAAACAAGAAGACAACACAAAUCCACUUCAGGAGCAGGCAAGUGGGCCAAAGACCUCAAACCAACAGUCACAGUGGGUUUUAUUACGGUCCCAAAACAUUGGACCCACGUAACCCAAUAACCACCAAAGUUUAAAAGACAGCGACUUGAUGUAACUUAUUCUUCUUCUUCAACAAGGUAAAAUGAAAAUAGUACUGGCCAGCUGGAAAAAGAAGAAUGAUAGCUGGACGAUAUGUCUAUCUAUUAUUACUUGUACAUAACUGAUGUUUACAUGUCGUGUCGUGGAUCUUUGUCAGAUAUCCGAAAGUUUGGAGUUGCAAAACGGUGGGGGCAAUUUGACAUUGAUUUGCUCUUUCCUGUUUUGUUUAAACUUUUUCCAGGCCAAACAUUAGCCCAGUGGAACUUGGUUCAAGCAACAUGCUCAACUGCAAAAUAUCAACACCAUGCCCACUAGCUUACUUCCAAGCUCAAAGCACCGGACACAUGUCACACAUGUAUCCCGAGUUGCCAGUCACUCGUCACAAGGAUAACUCAGUAGGAAUGACAAUGAUUUAAGUUUUAAACGUCUAAAAAACUUUCAGAAGCAUAAUACAGAUGCAAAUGUGUGACAUAUAAACCAGGGAUCCUGAAAUGAAUGUUGGGUGGCGGGUGGUUAUAGUAACAAACAGAUGACCAAAUCAUCAUGGAACUUCACAUCCAGUGCAUGUUGCUAAACGGUAAAUGAUUACAAAAUGAAGAGAACAAACAUGAGCCUUGCCUAUAUAUCAUGAAAACUGGCAAGGUAAUUUAAGAGGGCAACUAGUAUACAAAUAUCUUACACGUGAGACUAGAGUAAAAAAUGGUUAAGGCAAAUAUCUAAAAACAGGUCAUUAACAUCAUUCUUUGAAGCUUCAGGUCGAUUACACUUAUGUCAGUAAUGCAGACCUCCUAGCUUCUUUACAAAGUUACAGAAGAGUUAUACAAGCAAUAAUCCGUGGAUUAAUCAAACAUCCCAAAUUCAUGGAGGCCCCCAUCCUGAUCUAUUGCAUGGUGGACUACUGUGAAAACAAGCCUGCAAAUUACAAUUUCCCAUUAUAUAUUAUAAUGAAAUAAACAAACACAAAUUAGUAGCUACCACCUCUUGGCACAAGUUAACUAGAUAAAGGGGGACCUAUACUUUUUUUGGGUUAAUAGGCUAAAUCAUGAUUUAACUCGGAAAGCUUGCAGUCGACUCGCUACAAAAUUACACAUUUGCAGUUAGAUAACAGGCGUUACAUUAUAAACAGAGUAGAUGGAUGGCGGACAUGUCAUGCAUGUCUCAAAAUCUGAUCCAAAAGCAAAUGACCCAAGUCAUUAAUAUAAGCCUACCCUUCUACCCAACUGAAAACCCAUUGAAUCUUAACAUAAUGAACUCAACCUUUUUUUUCAAAUCGAUCCUGCUACUCAUUCAUCUCAUCAUCAUCUCUUCUGAUUCUGUUUUCACCUUUAAAGAAGUUGAAUGUGUAUUCCAAUUUCAAACUUUAUCAUCCUGAUUAAUCUUCUUGCUGAUUGUUCAAGGUUGGCCUUAGCUAUACCCAAAUUAAGAAUUCAACAUUUGAAAAAAAAAUUGAAAAAGAAAAAAAUCUUUCAUGGAAGACGCGAGAAGCGAGAAUCACCAAUUUCUGACCCCGCCUCAACCUGAAAAUCUGGCUAAUCGAUACAAAUUUGUAGCUACAACUUUAUACCUAUAUCAAAACCACAACCGUAUCACCAAAUUUAUAGGCACCCAAGUUACUGUACCAAAUUUACAGGCACCCAAUUACUAUCCUUACUACUGAUGAGCAUAUGCUUGCUCCGUGUAAUCUCCUAUUCUAAGCAUGAUUGGUUGCACAGUUGCUUUUGACAUAAAAAAUGUUGUAUGGUAAUUUGUGUUUAUGUUAACUGUUGUGUGUGUGUGUAUACUCACGCACAUAUGAUUAGUUCAGAAUAAAGAAAAUUAAUUUGGGUAUAUGGUAGGAAUAGAUGGAUGAGUAAAGGAUUGGCUUUAAGUUUUUUAUUACGUAUCACCUAAUGUGGUAGCUUAUGAAAUUAUAUAAGUUCAUUAAUAUUCCGUAAUGGAGAAAUUACUAUUUGAAAUUUUAAUCUGAUCUCUUUUACUCCUACUAGAAUCUUAAUAGUUUAAACAAGAUUUGAUAAUAUGAAAAUAAAUAUUGAAGUGUUAUUUAGUAAAGUGAUUGCAUUGAAUAGGAAAAGUAACAACACUAGAUAAAUUUUAAUUUACUAAUGGUUAUUCUUUAUUAUGAAGGUGAAAAAUUGAAAAUUCUACUUAGAUCAAUUAAAUAAAAUCGUUAGUAUGAUUAUAUUUUAAGUUGUUAAUGUGAUAGUGAAUAAAUUUAAGUAUAAUAAUAUGGAUUAUUAUGUGAUUUAUGUAUAUAAUGAAAAUAAAAUAAAAUUUAAAGUACAAAAAUACUAAUAUUUUUAGAUUUUUUUUUAAAAAUUACUUUUUCAUAAUAAGAGGCUAAUUAAAGUAUAACUUAUAAGUAAUAUUUCAAAUUAAUAGAAGAUAUAUAUACAUACAAUAAUAUGAAAAUAAAUAUAAUAUAAGAAAAUCUAUAAAUAUACGGUAUAAGAAUUUAUAAUGGAUUGUUUUAUUAAUUUAAGUGAACGCUAAAAAAGAUUUUAUACCAAUAUUACUCUAUUUCCUUAUUCUAGAGGGGUUAGAAAGAUUUAUUACUAAAUAUUAUGAUAUUUUUCUUAUCCUAACGAGGGCUAUAGUCUCCACUAGCCCCUGUGUAGCUCCAUCACUGGGUACUCUAGACAAGAGACACCUUUGGUACUUGCCACCUAUCAAUUGUACUUAUGUUACUGAAGCUGGCCAUGCAUUUAUGUUACUCUAUGCUAUUUAUAGGUUGUAUAAAGCAGAUAAGAGAACUUGCACAUGCCUUAAGGUCAUCCAGGAUAAGAAACCAUUCACCAAAACCAAAUAGAAUACACAGUCAAAACAACUAACAUCUCAAUUGUAAACACAGAAAGAAACUUGCAGGAUUCCUUUGUUUCGUUCAUUAAAUUUCAAGCCAAAAAUGUACAUGGCUUAACACAUUAAAACUCUUGUUAAUUGAAACAAAUGUGCAUAAAUCAGGAGCCAUGCCUAUGAUUUACAACAGAUUUACCCUUAUUCAUAUAUCAAUCCCGAAGGAGAAAAUAUUCUAAUACUAUAUCAGCUUUAGAAAAUCUCAAAUUUAAAAAACCUGAAAUCAUCCUAACGUAUAGAUCGCCAACCUUAUUAUUAAGGGCGAAAAGCAACAAAGUAGUAUACGGUGACAUCUGGUGGUGCAAACCCUAGAAUUCAAGGAUGGACGAGCGAAUGUCUAAUUCUUCAUUACUGACAUGGAAGAGAGAAAUCAUGGUAGACAGUGCUCCGGAACCAAUAGUUCUAACCCAAACAGAAUUAAACACUAAAUUAGCAAAGACAAAGCUGGAUGUAUGCACUAUACAACACAACAUAAUAGAGAGAGAAAUAAAAGGGAGGAGGUGAGAGAGAGUCUGAG